This 549-nucleotide ribosomal RNA is filed under the name uncultured archaeon. RNAcentral's name for it is "bacterial SSU rRNA". It matches the Rfam family "Archaeal small subunit ribosomal RNA", at positions 330 to 879 of the family's 1478-position model. The record is from RNAcentral.
GUGCAGCAGGCGCGAAAACUUUACCAUGCGGGAAACCGUGAUAAGGGGACACCGAGUGCCAGCAUCAUAUGCUGGCUGUCCAGAUGUGUAAAAUACAUCUGUUAGCAAGGGCCGGGCAAGACCGGUGCCAGCCGCCGCGGUAACACCGGCGGCCCGAGUGGUGAUCGUGAUUAUUGGGUCUAAAGGGUCCGUAGCCGGUUUGGUCAGUCCUCCGGGAAAUCUGAUAGCUCAACUAUUAGGCUUUCGGGGGAUACUGCCAGACUUGGAACCGGGAGAGGUAAGAGGUACUACAGGGGUAGGAGUGAAAUCUUGUAAUCCCUGUGGGACCACCUGUGGCGAAGGCGUCUUACCAGAACGGGUUCGACGGUGAGGGACGAAAGCUGGGGGCACGAACCGGAUUAGAUACCCGGGUAGUCCCAGCCGUAAACGAUGCUCGCUAGGUGUCAGACAUGGCGCGACCGUGUCUGGUGCCGCAGGGAAGCCGUGAAGCGAACCACCUGGGAAGUACGGCCGCAAGGCUGAAACUUAAAGGAAUUGGCGGGGGAGCAC